This 257-nucleotide ribosomal RNA is filed under the name uncultured bacterium. Its description in RNAcentral is "partial 16S ribosomal RNA". It matches the Rfam family "Bacterial small subunit ribosomal RNA", at positions 524 to 776 of the family's 1533-position model. The record is from RNAcentral.
UACGUAGGGUGCGAGCGUUUGUCCGGAAUUAUUGGGCGUAAAGAGCUCGUAGGCGGUCUGUCGCGUCUGCUGUGAAAACCCGAGGCUCAACCUCGGGCCUGCAGUGGGUACGGGCAGACUAGAGUCCGGUAGGGGGAGCAUGGAAUUCCUGGUGUAGCGGUGAAAUGCGCAGAUAUCAGGAAGAACACCCGUGGCGAAGGCGGCUCCUCUGGGGACGGUACUGACGCUGAGACGCGAAAGCGUGGGGAGCGAACAGG